This 1260-nucleotide ribosomal RNA is filed under the name Uroleucon sonchi. RNAcentral describes it as "16S ribosomal RNA". Lineage: Eukaryota; Metazoa; Arthropoda; Insecta; Hemiptera; Aphididae. The record is from RNAcentral.
AUAUUAAAAUUAUUAAUGUUUAUUUUUUUAUUUUAUUUUUUAUAAAAAUAAUUUAUUUAUUUAGAGUUUUAGUAUUAAUUAAAAAUUAAUUUGAAGAUUUAUAGUUUAAUAGUAUUGUAAAAGAAUUAAUUAAAUUUUUAAAAGAAUAUUUUUAGUACCUUUUGUAUCAGGGUUGAUUAAAAUUUUUAAUUUUUUUUUAAUUUCUCAAAAUUUAUAGAGUUAAUUUUAUUAUUAAUUUAUUGUAUUAUAAAUAUUUAUAAAAUAAUAUUAGUUUUGAAAUUUAAUUCGUUAUAUUAUAUUUAGUUAUUUAAGAUUUAAAUUUAAUUUAAAAUUUUAAAAGUUAUAUUGAUUUAAUAUAUUGAUAUUUUAAAUUUAAAUUAUUUUAGGGAUAAGCUUAAAAUUUUUAUAUAAUAAUUUAUUUAUUUUAAUAUUUUAUAGGAAUAGAAAUUUUUAUUUGAAGUUUGUAAAAAUUUAUUAUUUAAUAAUUUUUAAUUUAUUAUAAAUUUAUUUAUUCUUUGUAUUAAAUUUUAUUAAUUAAUAUUUAAUUAUUAGUAAUAAUGAUUAAAUUAGUAUAAUUUAAAUUUAUAAAUUAUGAAUUCGGCAAAAAUUAUUUUCAUCUGUUUAACAAAAACAUUGUAUUAAGUUUAAUUUAAUAUAGGAUCUGCUCAAUGAUUUAUUAGAUAGCUGCAGUAUAUUGACUGUGCAAAGGUAGCAUAAUAAUUAGUCUUUUAAUUGAAGACUUGUAUGAAAGAUUUGAUGAGAAAUAAACUUUAUUAUUUAUAUAAUUAAAAUUUUAUUUUUAAGUAAAAAAGCUUAAAUUAUUUAAAGGGACGAUAAGACCCUAUAAAACUUUAUAAAUAUUAAUUUUAAUUUUUUUGGAUUUAUAAAUAUUUUAAUUUUAUUAUUUAUUUUAUUGGGGUGAUAAAAAAAAAUAUUUAACUUUUUUUAAAAUUUUACAUAAUUUAAUGAAUAUUUGAAUUAAAAUUUUUAAUUAUAGGAAAAAGUUACUUUAGGGAUAACAGCGUAAUUAAUUUUUUAAGUUCAAAUUUAAAAAUUAGUUUGCGACCUCGAUGUUGAAUUAAGAUUAAUCUUAGGUGCAAAAUUUUAAGUAUUAGGUCUGUUCGACCUUUAAAUUCUUACAUGAUUUGAGUUCAAACCGGUGUAAGCCAGGUUGGUUUCUAUCUUUUAAAAAAUAAAUUAUUUUAGUACGAAAGGAUUAAAUAAUUAAAUUAAAUUUUAUAAAAUGAAUAAAAUUAAUUU